This 792-nucleotide long non-coding RNA is filed under the name Equus caballus (horse). RNAcentral's name for it is "lncRNA (ENSECAG00000051289.1)". Lineage: Eukaryota; Metazoa; Chordata; Mammalia; Perissodactyla; Equidae. The record is from RNAcentral.
GUCUGCUGUGAUGAAUAACCCUCUGGUUCUGGAGUGUAGAAAAUGCAUCUGUCUUCUGGUGCAGUGCUCUUGGACCUGGGCUCCCAGUCUCAGUGGCAAAUACUAUUCCAAGGUGCGACAUGCCCCUCUAGCAGAGUCUGGAGUCGGAAAUAUGAAGGUGGUGGGUUGGACCACAGAAAGAAAGCUAAAAAAAGAAAAGAACCAGGAAAUUCUUCCAGAAUGACUAUGCAAUGUAGACUUGACUUGGUUCAUCAAAUAGCUUGGAUCUCUUAGAAGAUACGGGAAUCCAAUUAAAUGAUAAAAGUCCUAAAAUAUUUACAAAGAAAAUAUGCAGCUCAAUAAGAGAUUAUUAAAUAUAAUGUGCCACACACAUGUCUAAUUUUGUUCUUCCAGUGGCAGACGGUAAACAGGAUGUUGAGAAACUGAGAUUGGGGUCUCUCAGUCUGCAGGAGCUUCUUCACGGGGGACGGUUGUAAACAGGAACUCUGCCAGGCGUCCUGGGCUGGGGACCCUGUGAUCUCUUUCGGCAUUUCCUGAAGUUUUUCAUCUGGAACAGGCUGACUCCGAUGUCAUCCCAGAACCUGUCCUUUAUGCCUGAAAGAGCUAGAAGGAUUGGAGGCACAGACCAGCCCACGAAGACUAAAAUGUUUACUAUCUAGCCCUUUACAUGAAAAGUUUGUGGACCUCUGCUUUAAAUCAACGCCUGAAAUUGCAACUUUCUGAGUUCUUCACUUAGAACAAGAAUAUUACCUUUCACAAUACAUGGAAAACCGAUUAAAUACAUUCAUUAAC